UUUUUUUGCCAUCACCCGACG
Molecule: non-coding RNA, 21 nt
Filed under: Caenorhabditis elegans
Lineage: Eukaryota; Metazoa; Nematoda; Chromadorea; Rhabditida; Rhabditidae
Source: RNAcentral